RNAcentral lists this long non-coding RNA (654 nucleotides) under Olea europaea subsp. europaea. Lineage: Eukaryota; Viridiplantae; Streptophyta; Magnoliopsida; Lamiales; Oleaceae. The record is from RNAcentral.
UGUACGUCUCACCUUUUAAUCCCUUAAAUACGCUCGAGUUGUGGAAUCCUCGAGUAAACACUUCAAUAUCGCGUGAGCAGUAAGUUUCGAAUUUGUUUGCUCGAUUGUAUGGAGUCCAAGAGGUCGAGAUAAAUAGUUCGAAUAAAUUAACUAAACAUACAUAGUCCUCGAUCAAUUUACAUUGUCAAAAUUAAACAAAAAAUUACAAAGGAUCGGGGUGGGGAAGUCAUCCAAUGUGGCCAAGAGGAGGAUCGAGGUUGCUGAUGUCGAUCUCAACGUCGUCCUCAAGACCAUCCUCAUCAUCUCCACCAGAUCCUCCUCCAUCUUCCGAACCCGAGAGCUCCAAUGUAUCAGCAAUGGAGGGCACCGUCUUCAGGUCGUCUAGAGUGACGUCGGGCAACUUCUGCCUGAGGAAGGCCCGGGCUUCUUUCAGAGCAUGGAAGUACGCCCCCGACGCAUACUCCCCUUUUAUCUUGUCGCAGUCCUCGGAGGUUUUAAACUCCUCCCAAGCCCUCUCCCUGACAGCCUCGAGCUCGCGCCCGAAAUCCUUUGUCUUCUGGAUGAGCUCGAGCCUCGCGCCUCGACCUCAUCCUUUGCUGCAACCAAGUCAUCCCUGGCCUUUGCAGCCUCCCUCCUAGCGUCAUCACGCUCCUU